GUGCCUGCAUUUUCCCCGAAUUGUUUAACCCUCAUGCUUCAGAAUUAGGCUGAGGCUUGCGGGGUGGGUCAUGUUGACCUGGGUGAACAGAGAUCCCUUUAAGAAGAACUUCUCCAUGUUCCAGAGGCGCGUUCUUACUGCAGAUGGCGACACUGAGGCCCAGAGAGACAUCAUGACCAGCCUCAGGUCCCACAUGCAGCCUGCUGCUCUGUAGCCUAAAUCAGAUCACUGUCCCAGCUUUCAGGUCAAGGCUCUGGUUGUGACACCUGGGCCUGGACUGCGGGUGAAAAGUUUUGAUGCAAAAACACAGACCGUCCAUUGUCCUAUGGGCUAAGUGGACUCCCUUCUGCUAACCAGAGAUGCUUGUGCUGGC
Long non-coding RNA from Homo sapiens (human), 373 nucleotides. NCBI's taxonomy places the organism in Eukaryota, Metazoa, Chordata, Mammalia, Primates, Hominidae. The record is from Ensembl.